Long non-coding RNA from Gasterosteus aculeatus aculeatus (three-spined stickleback), 770 nucleotides. NCBI's taxonomy places the organism in Eukaryota, Metazoa, Chordata, Actinopteri, Perciformes, Gasterosteidae. The record is from Ensembl.
GGGGGGGGUCCUCUGUCAUCAGCACCCUCAGCCAGUGGAGACACUUCGAGCGUCUCCUCGUCCACCUCCUCGGCGUCACUACAGACUCUUUGUCAGAAGGGAAAUACUGAGGAGCUCGACAGACGGAACGGACGGAUGGGAAGGGAAACAAAAGCUGGAGGAUACGACGAGUGAAAAGACAAACACGAGUCCACCAUCCAUCCAUCAUCCAUCCAUCCUCCUUCCAUCAUUGGAUGCGUCAUCCAUCAUCUAUCCAUCAUGCAUCAAUUUUACAUCAUCUAUCCGUCAUCACUCAUCUUUCAUCCAUCAACAACCCAUCCAGCUGUCCAUCAUCCAUCCAUCAUCCAUCACCCAUCCAUUUCACAUUAUCUAUCUAUCCAUUACCCAUGCGUCACACAUCCAUCAUCCCUCCAUCCAUCAUCAUGCAUCCUUCAUCCAACCAUCAACAACCCAUCCAUCAUCAUGCAUCCAACCAUCAACAACCCAUCCAUCAUCAUGCAUCCUUUAUCCAACCAUCAACAACCCAUCCAUCAUCAUGCAUCCUUCAUCCAACCAUCAACAAUCCAUCCAUCAUCAUGCAUCCAACCAUCAACAACCCAUCCAUCAUCAUGCAUCCUUCAUCCAACCAUCAACAACCCAUCCAUCAUCAUGCAUCCUUUAUCCAACCAUCAACAACCCAUCCAUCAUCAUGCAUCCUUCAUCCAACCAUCAACAACCCAUCCAUCCAUCCAUUACUCUCUCUUUGCUCCUUUUAUUUGUGGUAAAAACAC